GGAUCCAGACUUUGAUCCUGGCUCAGGAUGAACGCUAGCUACAGGCUUAACACAUGCAAGUCGAGGGGAAACGAUAUUGGAAGCUUGCUUCCGAUAGACGUCGACCGGCGCACGGGUGAGUAACGCGUAUCCAACCUGCCCAUCAUUUGGGGAUAACCUUGCGAAAGUAAGACUAAUACCCAAUGAUAUCUCUAGAAGACAUCUGAAAGAGAUUAAAGAUUUAUCGGUGAUGGAUGGGGAUGCGUCUGAUUAGCUUGUUGGCGGGGUAACGGCCCACCAAGGCGACGAUUAGUAGGGGUUCUGAGAGGAAGGUCCCCCACAUUGGAACUGAGACACGGUCCAAACUCCUACGGGAGGCAGCAGUGAGGAAUAUUGGUCAAUGGGCGAGAGCCUGAACCAGCCAAGUAGCGUGCAGGAUGACGGCCCUAUGGGUUGUAAACUGCUUUUAUAAGGGAAUGAAGUGAGCCUCGUGAGGCUUUUUGCAUGUACCUUAUGAAUAAGGACCGGCUAAUUCCGUGCAGCAGCCGCGGUAAUACGGAAGGUCCGGGCGUUAUCCGGAUUUAUUGGGUUUAAAGGGAGCGUAGGCCGGAGAUUAAGCGUGUUGUGAAAUGUAGAUGCUCAACAUCUGCCUGCAGCGCGAACUGUUUUCCUUGUGUACGCACAAAGUGGGCGGAAUUCGUGGUGUAGCGGUGAAAUGCUUAGAUAUCACGAAGAACUCCGAUUGCGAAGGCAGCUCACUGGAGCGCAACUGACGCUGAAGCUCGAAAGUGCGGGUAUCGAACAGG
This 785-nucleotide ribosomal RNA is filed under the name uncultured bacterium. Its description in RNAcentral is "bacterial SSU rRNA". It matches the Rfam family "Bacterial small subunit ribosomal RNA", at positions 1 to 776 of the family's 1533-position model. The record is from RNAcentral.